GGCCGAAGGAAAAUAAAGCAUGAAAAGGCUUGAAAAUGAACAAAACUAAAAUUAAAAAGAAUUUGAGUGACAAAACUAAAAAUAACCAAGAAAGACAAACAAAUUAAAGGCUAGAAACAAAGUUAAGCACACAAAAAGAAACACUUGUGGAAAGGCAUUAUAAUAGAUGAUAAAAAACAAAAACAACUAAAAUGUAGAUGUAAGCUUCUUG
This 211-nucleotide long non-coding RNA is filed under the name Vigna radiata. RNAcentral describes it as "long non-coding RNA (VRAD_LNC008564)". Lineage: Eukaryota; Viridiplantae; Streptophyta; Magnoliopsida; Fabales; Fabaceae. The record is from RNAcentral.